Molecule: long non-coding RNA, 1990 nt
Filed under: Pongo abelii (Sumatran orangutan)
Lineage: Eukaryota; Metazoa; Chordata; Mammalia; Primates; Hominidae
Description: lincRNA
Source: RNAcentral
ACAUCAUAGCUGGGGAACAGGGAUUCACAAGACCCAGGCUGUUCCCUACAUAUUUUUCCUCCUCAGACAUCAGUUCAUCAGUCAAUCAAGUCAUGUGAGAGUGGAGGCCAUGUAUUCCGUAUUCUUGGGCACUCUCCUCCAAGGAGGAAAAGGCCAGGAGGUCCUGUUAGAGGAUGCACUCUGAGAGGCCGGGCUCCCUAAGGUGUGAGAGUUCUAACCAGCAGGUGUAGACUUUUCAGGAGUGAGGAAUGAGGCAGGCAUUCCAAACCUGGAGCUUCAUCACCUUUUGUUUCAUCUCAAGACAAUUCUGAGGGGCUGUUUUGGAACGUGUCUGGAAGGUGAACGUUGAAGAAGAGUGUGGGCUUUGAUGUGACUCAGAUAAGAUCUUUCAUGGGGAGGCAGGAAUUUAAUGCCCAGAAUCUGGGCUGGUGUCUUUGAGGUCAGUGGGUUGCCUUUUUGUAUCCAAGUCCAUUGUUACUAGGUUGGAGGCUGGAGAUUCUAAAUGGCUUCCAGACCGCCUCUCUGAUUCUCUUUUGGAGAUGGGGUCUGAAAAAGACAAUGUCAGUAUUUUUGGGAAAUUCUGGAAAGUCUGUUUGGAAACCUGUGAAGACCUCUUGCCUAGUGCCUAAAUGCUCAAUGUGCAGCUCUAGCCACGUAGAUGUUUGGUAGGUAUAGAGCUGGGUUUGCAUUUAUAUCAGCAAAACCUAUGGCAGAGUUGAAGAAGUAAUCAGGACAAAGUGUCUUGGUCGCAGGCCAGAGAACAUCUUAAAAGCAAACUUCUAGCCUGCUGACUCUUGGCAAUGAGUGUUGGGUCCUGGCCAAAGUGCCUUGAAUGCAGCAUGAAGCCAAUCCAUAAAUCCAACUUCUAAUGGAGAAAUGUUAAUAUUUUUUCAGUUUGAAUCAAUCAGGGUGAAAUUACCAUGCUAUUGGUUUGUUUACUUUUUAUUAUUUCAUAUAAAAUCUAAGACAAAAUACAUUAAACGCUUAUUGACAUAUGUAUUUAUUCUUCACCUGGCUCAUAACAUUUGCCUAAUUUUAAACUUUCUUCUAUUAUGUAGGUUUCAACUUAUUUUAUUGUAAGAUAUUGUUAAAUCUAAUACAGGCAUUGUCACCUUUACAUGUAAUUUUAUUUUAUUUCAUAUAUUUCCUAUUCGCUUUCUACAUUUAAAUUAUGGACUGUUUCAUCAUAUAAAAAGCUUCAUUUCUAUUUUAAAAAUAAUUCUUUGGGUUUUUUUGUCUUGUAAUUUCCAUAUUACAUAGUAAUGAGAUAAACAUUAAUGUUUCCAGGGUAUUUAAAUUUUAGAUAAUUACUCAUUGUAUCCAUGUGAAAUUUGUUUUUACUGCAUGUGUGGGUUGGAGAACUGUUUUCUCUUCUGAUUCGUCUUUACUGUGAUCUCCUCAGAACUCAUACCUCUCGUAGUUGGGGGAUUGCAGUUUAGAAUUCCAAUAAAUGGGGCAAAUUCAACAAUAACAUAAUACAAAUGAGUUUAAAGGAGGACAUGUCUUCAAAGCAUACACAACAUGGGCCUACAUAUGUAUACCAAUAAUAAUUUAUAAGUUACAGUUUGGAUGGAAAGUAAAAGUACAGAAAAUUUGUUAAAGUAAAUUAAAAUGGAGAUCAUGUCUCAAUAAUCUCUGAGCAGACAAAGUUAGUUAGGUCUCAUAAGUGAUCUCGAUCUUGCUUGAUUUGCAAAUAAAAGCAAAACUUAAAUUAUUUCUUGUAGCUGCAUAUUUAAAAAAGAGAAAUGAAGCUCAACCAAUCAGGAGUAGCCAACAACCUUAUAUAAAUAGAAACUGUCCAACAAGGUAAACAGACAAACAGAAAACAAUAAAAAAGUUGUGCUACCACCAAUUAAAUGAUUUAUUUGUUUCUACAUUUUUCCAAUAAAUACUUGCUUCUUACACAGUCAGUGAAGCACUAAAUAUCUUUUGGUCUGAUAUUUUAUAAUUUAUCAAUUGGUCUUUCUCAAAUAAACAUUUUACAAUUUCA